Non-coding RNA from Gorilla gorilla gorilla (western lowland gorilla), 537 nucleotides. NCBI's taxonomy places the organism in Eukaryota, Metazoa, Chordata, Mammalia, Primates, Hominidae. The record is from the annotation of a RefSeq genome assembly.
AUGCCCUCCAAGAAUGAGGAUUUUUCCAAUGCAUUAGGUUGGGUCCCCUCAGUGAGAAGGAUGCCAAAGAUUCGCAUGCAGGCAGUAUAUUUACAAAGUGCGGGAAACAAGCAAGCUGGUCGCACCCGGUGCAGGAGUCAGCCCCAGUCAGGACACAGCACGGACGUGAGGGCCCCCACUCAGCUCCUGGGGCUCCUGGGGCUCUGGCUGCCAGGUGCCAGAUGUGACAUCCAGAUGACCCAGUCUCCAUCCUCCCUGUCUGCAUCUGUAGGAGGCAGAGUCACCAUCACUUGCCGGGCGAGUCAGGGCAUUAGCAAUAAUUUAAAUUGGUAUCAGCAGAAACCAGGGAAAACUCCUAAGCUCCUGAUCUAUGCUGCAUCCAGUCUGCAAAGUGGGAUUCCCUCUCGGUUCAGUGACAGUGGAUCUGGGACAGAUUACACUCUCACCAUCAGCAGCCUGCAGCCUGAAGAUUUUGCAGCUUAUUACUGUCAACAGAGUGACAGUACCCCUCCCACAGUGUUACAAGUCAUAACAUAA